This 194-nucleotide unclassified non-coding RNA is filed under the name uncultured fungus. RNAcentral describes it as "sequence contains ITS1". The record is from RNAcentral. Lineage: Eukaryota; Fungi.
GUAUAUAUUUUAUAGGCACAUACAUUCUAUUAACAUACAUUGGGGUAAAUGAAGCAACAUAGACCAGGGGUCUACAAAAGGUGCACAGGUGGAGAUAUAAAGAUGACAAGGUGUGCACAUGCUCUCUAGAGAACCAGCAACAACCCAUCAGGUUUAUUUCAAUAAUGAUCCUUCCGCAGGUUCACCUACGGAAA